Molecule: ribosomal RNA, 329 nt
Filed under: Mucor irregularis
Lineage: Eukaryota; Fungi; Mucoromycota; Mucoromycetes; Mucorales; Mucoraceae
Description: eukaryotic LSU rRNA
Rfam family: Eukaryotic large subunit ribosomal RNA
Source: RNAcentral
CAAAGUUGGAACCUGUUUGGCUUAGCUAAACCGGAUUGUAAACUGUAGAAGUGUUUUCCAGACACGCCUGGUAAAAAAGUCCUUUGGAACAGGGCAUCAUAGAGGGUGAGAAUCCCGUCAUUGGCCAGAGCUGUUGUCUUUUGUGAUACAUUUUCAAAGAGUCAGGUUGUUUGGGAAUGCAGCCUAAAUUGGGUGGUAAAUCUCACCUAAAGCUAAAUAUUUGCGAGAGACCGAUAGCGAACAAGUACCGUGAGGGAAAGAUGAAAAGAACUUUGAAAAGAGAGUUAAACAGUAUGUGAAAUUGUUAAAAGGGAACCGUUUGGAGCCAG